CUAAACAAUGAUUAAGCACCUCCAACUGUUUUCUAAUGGUAUAAAAGCAGUGUUUCGGCUGAGGCCGGCAUUCUGAGCUCCUCAGUCGACCCGCAACAAACAACAUGAACUUCUCACUGUUCUUCUUCGUGGUAGCCUUGGUGCUGGCCCUCGCCGCCGCCGCACCACAGCUUGAUGCUGUCAACAACGUUCCUGUUAUUGGAGGUAUUUUUGGAGAUGUGGCCAAACCUGUCGAAGAAGUAGCUAAAGGUGUUGGAGUCUAAUCAAGACGCGACUACUCGAAUACCGACCACUAAGGACAACUAGUACAACAAAUGCCAGCAGUAGACAGUUACACAAUCAGAAAACAGCCUGAAACUACUCAAUAGAAAAUAUUUUUUGUAAAUUAUUACUAUAACAAUUGUACCCUGGACUUCAUGAAUAAAUAACCAACUCAAUUUUUGUUUUA
Molecule: long non-coding RNA, 448 nt
Organism: Ostrinia nubilalis (European corn borer)
Lineage: Eukaryota; Metazoa; Arthropoda; Insecta; Lepidoptera; Crambidae
Exons: 4
Source: RefSeq, a predicted model, not a curated record